GAUGAACGCUGGCGGCGUGCCUAAUACAUGCAAGUCGAGCGAACGGACGAGAAGCUUGCUUCUCUGAUGUUAGCGGCGGACGGGUGAGUAACACGUGGAUAACCUACCUAUAAGACUGGGAUAACUUCGGGAAACCGGAGCUAAUACCGGAUGAUAUUUUGAACCGCAUGGUUCAAAAGUGAAAGACGGUCUUGCUGUCACUUAUAGAUGGAUCCGCGCUGCAUUAGCUAGUUGGUAAGGUAACGGCUUACCAAGGCAACGAUGCAUAGCCGACCUGAGAGGGUGAUCGGCCACACUGGAACUGAGACACGGUCCAGACUCCUACGGGAGGCAGCAGUAGGGAAUCUUCCGCAAUGGGCGAAAGCCUGACGGAGCAACGCCGCUUGAGUGAUGAAGGUCUUCGGAUCGUAAAACUCUGUUAUUAGGGAAGAACAUAUGUGUAAGUAACUGUGCACAUCUUGACGGUACCUAAUCAGAAAGCCACGGCUAACUACGUG
This 497-nucleotide ribosomal RNA is filed under the name uncultured bacterium. Its description in RNAcentral is "partial 16S ribosomal RNA". It matches the Rfam family "Bacterial small subunit ribosomal RNA", at positions 28 to 507 of the family's 1533-position model. The record is from RNAcentral.